GUGCUCACUUUGGCAGCACAUAUACUAAAAAAUUGGAACGAUACAGAGAGGAUUAGCAUGGCCUCUGCACAAGGAUGACAUGCAAAUUCGUGAAGCGUUCCAUAUUUUU
Molecule: small nuclear RNA, 109 nt
Organism: Chlorocebus sabaeus (green monkey)
Lineage: Eukaryota; Metazoa; Chordata; Mammalia; Primates; Cercopithecidae
Source: Ensembl